GAAUAGGAGAUCCGUUUUCUAUGGCCUUCCUGGGAAAACGAAGCUUUCCAAAUAGUCAAGGCCUGACUGAUUGGCCCAUCAGGCGCAGCACUCCCCACCUCCGUGUGAUUCGGCCUUCCACAGGAAGCAGGCCUGUGAUUUGACCUUCCACAGGAAGCAGGCCUGUGAUUCGGCCUUCCACAGGAAGCAGGCCUGUGAUUUGACCUUCCACAGGAACCAGGCCUGAGUUCUACCAGAAGCUGCUGUGGCCUGGAUGUCGAACAUCUCUGAAGGACUAUGUGCUAGAGACUGUGGGUGCAAUGUGAUCAGCUGCCUCAAACUCCUGCUGCCAUGAUCUCCUCACCAUGAUGGACUGUACCCUCAAACCUGUCAGCCAAACCAAACCCUUCAUCCUUAAGGUUUUUGUCAGUUGCUAUCUGUCACCUCAACAGUAAGAUUGUUCCACCCUUCUAUGAGACAAUAGACUUCAACAUACAUGUCCACAUGUCCCCUUAGAUGACCUGAAUUUAACAGGUCCACAUCUCAUGCAACCAAGUCUUGGCUCAUCCAGUUGCUGCUGCUCAAAGUGCCUUCCGCUCAGCCCACUUGGGUGAUGUACUUUGCCUUCCAGGAUUUGUGAGUAGAGCCUCCUCAUCUGGAACCUCCCUCAGGCAGCACAGUACCUAAGGUGAAAACAGAGAUUGACCUCUUUCCCCAUCUAAUUUCCCGCAUCAGCUGCUGACACUGUGAUUUACCUGAACGCUUUGUUUUAGUCUCCAAACCAAUGUUUGCUAAGAGAGUGAGCGCAUAGACCCCUCGAAAACAGCAUCACGUUCGUCAAGAAGUUUUGAAUCUUCCUGUUUUCUUCCCCUUGUUGGCUCCUUAAAUAAAUGUAACCCCAGCUUAAUGCUGCUGUCCAUAGUGCUACAAGGCCUGUCUGAUUCCAUCUUAAAA
Molecule: long non-coding RNA, 933 nt
Organism: Mus musculus (house mouse)
Lineage: Eukaryota; Metazoa; Chordata; Mammalia; Rodentia; Muridae
Product: predicted gene, 39105
Exons: 2
Source: RefSeq, a predicted model, not a curated record